GACGAACGCUGGCGGCGUGCUUAACACAUGCAAGUCGAACGGAAAGGCCCUGCUUUUGUGGGGUGCUCGAGUGGCGAACGGGUGUGUAACACGUGAGUAACCUGCCCUUGACUUUGGGAUAACUUCAGGAAACUGGGGCUAAUACCGGAUAGGAGCUCCUGCUGCACGGUGGGGGUUGGAAAGUUUCGGCGGUUGGGGAUGGACUCGCGGCUUAUCAGCUUGUUGGUGGGGUAGUGGCUUACCAAGGCUUUGACGGGUAGCCGGCCUGAGAGGGUGACCGGCCACAUUGGGACUGAGAUACGGCCCAGACUCCUACGGGAGGCAGCAGUGGGGAAUAUUGCACAAUGGGCGGAAGCCUGAUGCAGCAACGCCGCGUGCGGGAUGACGGCCUUCGGGUUGUAAACCGCUUUCGCCUGUGACGAAGCGUGAGUGACGGUAAUGGGUAAAGAAGCACCGGCUAACUACGUG
This 468-nucleotide ribosomal RNA is filed under the name uncultured bacterium. Its description in RNAcentral is "partial 16S ribosomal RNA". It matches the Rfam family "Bacterial small subunit ribosomal RNA", at positions 28 to 507 of the family's 1533-position model. The record is from RNAcentral.